AGCUUGUUAUUUUUUAAUACUAGAUUCUAAAUCGUGCCAGAACUGAAAAGAAGCAGCAUUAAAGAUAUUUUAGUAUAGUAAAAAAUAACAAGCUCUU
RNAcentral lists this signal recognition particle RNA (97 nucleotides) under Rickettsiaceae bacterium. RNAcentral describes it as "signal recognition particle sRNA small type". It matches the Rfam family "Bacterial small signal recognition particle RNA". Rfam says of the family: The signal recognition particle (SRP) is a universally conserved ribonucleoprotein involved in the co-translational targeting of proteins to membranes. The record is from RNAcentral. Lineage: Bacteria; Pseudomonadati; Pseudomonadota; Alphaproteobacteria; Rickettsiales; Rickettsiaceae.